GGCCCCAUCGUCUAGUGGUUAGGACGCAAGGUUCUCAUCCUUGUAACACCAGUUCGACUCUGGUUGGGGCCG
RNAcentral lists this transfer RNA (72 nucleotides) under bacterium. RNAcentral's name for it is "tRNA-Glu". It matches the Rfam family "tRNA". Rfam says of the family: Transfer RNA (tRNA) molecules are approximately 80 nucleotides in length. Their secondary structure includes four short double-helical elements and three loops (D, anti-codon, and T loops). The record is from RNAcentral.